AGCUUUACUGUUCCCUGGCAUUGGUCUCGGCCCUUCUGCGCAGCUAGGUGGGACGCACAGAAGCUCCUCUUCCGGAGGGGUCAAGCCAUCCGUGAGAGACCACUCUAUACAAAGCUAGAAUUUCUAACCCUCUGCCGUCAUCCGGCGAAGGAACAGUGUAUCAGGUGGGCAGUUUUGACUGGGGCGGUCGCCUCCCUAAAGGUAACGGAGGCGCGCAAAGGUUCCCUCAAGGCUGGUUGGAAUCAGCUUUAGAGUGUAAAGGCAAAAGGGAGCUUGACUGCAAGAGUGAACAACUCAAGCAGGGACGAAAGCCGGCUUAGUGAUCCGACGGUGCCGAGUGGAAGGGCCGUCGCUCAACGGAUAAAAGUUA
Molecule: ribosomal RNA, 370 nt
Filed under: uncultured alga
Lineage: Eukaryota
Description: bacterial LSU rRNA
Rfam family: Bacterial large subunit ribosomal RNA
Source: RNAcentral